RNAcentral lists this transfer RNA (65 nucleotides) under Rhinebothrium flexile. Its description in RNAcentral is "tRNA-Ser". Lineage: Eukaryota; Metazoa; Platyhelminthes; Cestoda; Rhinebothriidea; Rhinebothriidae. The record is from RNAcentral.
UUUCGUAACUCGUUUGAGCAUUUGAUUUGAAAUCAGAUUGUUUGUUUUUAUUAACAAUACGGGAU